RNAcentral lists this transfer RNA (57 nucleotides) under Camelus dromedarius (Arabian camel). It matches the Rfam family "tRNA", at positions 8 to 63 of the family's 71-position model. Rfam says of the family: Transfer RNA (tRNA) molecules are approximately 80 nucleotides in length. Their secondary structure includes four short double-helical elements and three loops (D, anti-codon, and T loops). Lineage: Eukaryota; Metazoa; Chordata; Mammalia; Artiodactyla; Camelidae. The record is from Rfam by way of RNAcentral.
UGGCUCAGUGGUAGAGCAUGUGCUUAGCAUGCACGAGGUCCUGGGUUCAAUCCCCAA